This 492-nucleotide ribosomal RNA is filed under the name uncultured bacterium. RNAcentral describes it as "partial 16S ribosomal RNA". It matches the Rfam family "Bacterial small subunit ribosomal RNA", at positions 29 to 507 of the family's 1533-position model. The record is from RNAcentral.
AGUGAACGCUGGCGGUAGGCCUAACACAUGCAAGUCGAACGGCAGCACAGUAAGAGCUUGCUCUUACGGGUGGCGAGUGGCGGACGGGUGAGGAAUACAUCGGAAUCUACUUUUUCGUGGGGGAUAACGUAGGGAAACUUACGCUAAUACCGCAUACGACCUACGGGUGAAAGCAGGGGAUCUUCGGACCUUGCGCGAUUGAAUGAGCCGAUGUCGGAUUAACUAGUUGGCGGGGUAAAGGCCCACCAAGGCGACGAUCCGUAGCUGGUCUGAGAGGAUGAGCGGCCACACGGGAACUGAGACACGGUCCAGACUCCGACGGGAGGCAGCAGUAGGGAAGCGUCCGAAAUGGGCGAAAGCGUGACGGAGCAACGCCGCGUGAGUGAUGAAGGGCUUCGGAUCGUAAAACUCGGUUAUUAGGGAAGAACAAAGGUGUAAGUAACUAUGCACGUCUUGACGGUACCGAAUCAGAAAGCCACGGCUAACUACGUG